CAGCCGCCGCGGGAAAACGAAGGGGGCUAGCGUUGCUCGGAAUGACUGGGCGUAAAGGGCGCGUAGGCGGUUCGUACAGUUGGAUGUGAAAUUCCUGGGCUUAACCUGGGGGCUGCAUUCAAUACGUGCGGGCUUGAGUGUGGAAGAGGGUUGUGGAAUUCCCAGUGUAGAGGUGAAAUUCGUAGAUAUUGGGAAGAACACCGGUGGCGAAGGCGGCAACCUGGUCCAUAACUGACGCUGAGGCGCGAAAGCGUGGGGAGCAAACAGGAUUAGAUACCCGCGUAGUCCCUGUCUCUUAUAC
RNAcentral lists this ribosomal RNA (301 nucleotides) under uncultured bacterium. RNAcentral describes it as "partial 16S ribosomal RNA". It matches the Rfam family "Bacterial small subunit ribosomal RNA", at positions 509 to 807 of the family's 1533-position model. The record is from RNAcentral.